CCUACGGGGGGCAGCAGUGAGGAAUAGUGGUCAAUGGACGAGAGUCUGAACCAGCCAAGUAGCGUGAAGGAUGACUGCCCUAUGGGUUGUAAACUUCUUUUAUAAAGGAAGAAAACGAGGCACGUGUGCCUUUUUGCAUGUACGUUAUGAAUAAGGAUCGGCUAACUCCGUGCCAGCAGCCGCGGUAAUACGGAGGAUCCGAGCGUUAUCCGGAUUUAGUUGGGUUAAAGGGAGCGUAGAUGGGUUGUUAAGUCAGUUGUGAAAGUUUGCGGCUCAACCGGAAAAUUGCAAUUGUUACUGGCAGUCUUGCGUACAGUUGCGUUAGGCGGAAUUCGUGGUGUAGCGGU
This 347-nucleotide ribosomal RNA is filed under the name uncultured bacterium. RNAcentral's name for it is "partial 16S ribosomal RNA". It matches the Rfam family "Bacterial small subunit ribosomal RNA", at positions 338 to 682 of the family's 1533-position model. The record is from RNAcentral.